Molecule: small nuclear RNA, 106 nt
Organism: Hemicordylus capensis (graceful crag lizard)
Lineage: Eukaryota; Metazoa; Chordata; Lepidosauria; Squamata; Cordylidae
Source: RefSeq, a predicted model, not a curated record
GUGCUGCUUUGACAGCACAUAUACUACAACUGGAAUGAUGCAGUGAAGAAUUGUGUGGCCCCUGCACAAGGAUGACACUUUUGGAUGGGUUGCUCCCUAUAGGGGU